ACAGCUGAACGGGUAGUCAUCCUUCUACCUAGACAGCUGAACGGGUAGUCAUCCUUCUACCUACACAGCUGAACGGGUAGUCAUCCCUCCACCUACACAGCUAGCUCCAGAACAAAUAGUCAUCCUUCCACCUACACAGCUGAACGGGAAGUCAUCCUUCUACCUAGACAGCUGAACAGGUAGUCAUCCCUCCACCUACACAGCUGAACGGGUAGUCAUC
Non-coding RNA from Salvelinus sp. IW2-2015, 220 nucleotides. Lineage: Eukaryota; Metazoa; Chordata; Actinopteri; Salmoniformes; Salmonidae. The record is from RefSeq and is a predicted model, not a curated record.